UCCGCUACCCUCGAUGGGGAG
Molecule: unclassified non-coding RNA, 21 nt
Filed under: Chlamydomonas reinhardtii
Lineage: Eukaryota; Viridiplantae; Chlorophyta; Chlorophyceae; Chlamydomonadales; Chlamydomonadaceae
Description: small RNA Cre_2576
Source: RNAcentral